GCCUACGUAGCUCAGUUGGUAGAGCACGUCCUUGGUAAGGACGAGGUCGACGGUUCAAUCCCGUUCGUAGGCU
This 73-nucleotide transfer RNA is filed under the name Verrucomicrobiales bacterium. Its description in RNAcentral is "tRNA-Thr". It matches the Rfam family "tRNA". From Rfam's summary of the family: Transfer RNA (tRNA) molecules are approximately 80 nucleotides in length. Their secondary structure includes four short double-helical elements and three loops (D, anti-codon, and T loops). The record is from RNAcentral. Lineage: Bacteria; Pseudomonadati; Verrucomicrobiota; Verrucomicrobiia; Verrucomicrobiales.